Molecule: ribosomal RNA, 467 nt
Filed under: uncultured bacterium
Lineage: Bacteria
Description: partial 16S ribosomal RNA
Rfam family: Bacterial small subunit ribosomal RNA
Source: RNAcentral
ACGCACGCUGGCGGCGUGCUUCACCCCUGCCAGUCGCACGGAAAGGCCCUGCUUUUGUGGGGUGCUCGCGUGGCGAACGGGUGAGUAACACGUGAGUAACCUGCCCUUGACUUUGGGAUAACUUCAGGAAACUGGGGCUAAUACCGGAUAGGAGCUCCUGCUGCAUGGUGGGGGUUGGAAAGUUUCGGCGGUUGGGGAUGGACUCGCGGCUUAUCAGCUUGUUGGUGGGGUAGUGGCUUACCAAGGCUUUGACGGGUAGCCGGCCUGAGAGGGUGACCGGCCACAUUGGGACUGAGAUACGGCCCAGACUCCUACGGGAGGCAGCAGUGGGGAAUAUUGCACAAUGGGCGGAAGCCUGAUGCAGCAACGCCGCGUGCGGGAUGACGGCCUUCGGGCUGUAAACCGCUUUCGCCUGUGACGAAGCGUGAGUGACGGUAAUGGGUAAAGAAGCACCGGCUAACUACGUG